CACACAGGCUAAUUACAUCUAACUACCCACCCUUCUGUGGGGUUAGUUUGGCAUGCAGCACAGGAAAUUGAAUUGGUCCACUGACCAUCCACAGCUUAUUAGGGCUCACAGCUCACGUGAGAAAGAGAUGUCAAUCUCAUCAUGACUUCUCUAAUGAAAUAACAUGCCUCAUGCCUUCUCUAAUGAAAUAACAUGCCUCGUGCCUUCUCUAAUGAAAUAACAUGCCUCGUGCCUUCUCUAAUGAAAUAACAUGCCUCGUGCCUUCUCUAAUGAAAUAACAUGCCUCAUGCCUCAUGACUUCUCUAAUGAAAUAACAUGCCUCAUGCCUUCUCUAAUGAAAUAACAUGCCUCGUGCCUUCUCUAAUGAAAUAACAUGCCUCGUGCCUCAUGCCUUCUCUAAUGAAAUAACAUGCCUCAUGCCUUCUCUAAUGAAAUAACAUGCCUCAUGCCUCAUGCCUUCUCUAUUGGUAAUGGUGAUAGGUUAGCAUGUCUCGGGGCUAUGAUGCUAACCUCCCCUGUUAUUGGUAAUGGUGAUAGGUUAGCAUGUCUCGGGGCUAUGAUGCUAACCUCCCCUGUUAUUGGUAAUGUUGAUAGGUUAGCAUGUCUUGGGGCUAUGCUAUUACAUGCUAAUCUCCCCUGUUAUUGGUAAUGGUGAUAGGUUAGCAUGUCUCGGGGCUAUGAUGCUACCCUCCCCAGUUAUUGGUAACGGUGAUAGGUUAGCAUGUCUCGGGGCUAUGAUGCUAACCUCCCCUGUUAUUGGUAAUGGUGAUAGGUUAGCAUGUCUCGGGGCUAUGAUGCUAACCUCCCCUGUUAUUGGUAAUGGUGAUAGGUUAGCACGUCUCGGGGCUAUGAUAUAACAUGCUAACCUCCCCUGUUAUUGUAAUGGUGAUAGGUUAGCACGUCUCGGGGCUAUGAUGCUAAUCUCCCCUGUUAUUGGUAAUGGUGAUAGGUUAGCACGUCUCGGGGCUAUGAUGCUAAUCUCCCCUGUUAUUGGUAAUGGU
Molecule: long non-coding RNA, 1001 nt
Organism: Oncorhynchus keta (chum salmon)
Lineage: Eukaryota; Metazoa; Chordata; Actinopteri; Salmoniformes; Salmonidae
Exons: 3
Source: RefSeq, a predicted model, not a curated record